CCUACGGGUGGCUGCAGUGGGGAAUCUUGGGCAAUGGGCGCAAGCCUGACCCAGCAACGCCGCGUGAAGGAAGAAGGCCCUCGGGUUGUAAACUUCUUUUGUCAGGGACGAAACAAAUGACGGUACCUGACGAAUAAGCCACGGCUAACUACGUGCCAGCAGCCGCGGUAAUACGUAGGUGGCAAGCGUUAUCUGGAUUUACUGGGUGUAAAGGGCGUGUAGGCGGGUGAGUAAGGCAGAUGUGAAAUUCCAGGGCUCAACCCGGGAACUGCAUGGGAAACUGUUUUUCUUGAGUGAUGAAGAGGCAGGCGGAAUUCCGUGUGUAGCGGUGAAAUGCGUAGAUAUACGGAGGAACACCAGUGGCGAAGGCGGCCUUCUGGACAGUAACUGACGCUGAGGCGCGAAAGCGUGGGUAGCAAACAGGAUUAGAUACCCCAGUAGUC
RNAcentral lists this ribosomal RNA (443 nucleotides) under uncultured bacterium. RNAcentral describes it as "partial 16S ribosomal RNA". It matches the Rfam family "Bacterial small subunit ribosomal RNA", at positions 338 to 795 of the family's 1533-position model. The record is from RNAcentral.